Molecule: ribosomal RNA, 170 nt
Filed under: Cypripedium himalaicum
Lineage: Eukaryota; Viridiplantae; Streptophyta; Magnoliopsida; Asparagales; Orchidaceae
Description: 5.8S ribosomal RNA
Source: RNAcentral
GGCACGCCUGCCUGGGCGUCGUGUGCUGCGUCUCUCCUAUCAAUGCUUUCCUAUCAUAUAGAUUGGUUUGCAUUGCGUGGAUGCGAAAGAUUGGCCCCUUGUGCCUAGGUGCGGUGGGUCUAAGGACUAGUGUUUUGAUGGUUCGAAACCUGGCAGGAGGUGGAGGAUGU